This 491-nucleotide ribosomal RNA is filed under the name uncultured bacterium. RNAcentral describes it as "bacterial SSU rRNA". It matches the Rfam family "Bacterial small subunit ribosomal RNA", at positions 33 to 507 of the family's 1533-position model. The record is from RNAcentral.
GACGACGUUUGCGGCGGGCCUAACACAUGCAAGUCGAACGAGUAACCCGGGCUUCGGUCUGGGGGAAAGUGGCGCACGGGUGCGUAACACGUGGGUAAUCAACCCUUUGGAUCGGGACAACCCGGGGAAACUCGGGCUAAUACCGGAUAAGUCGUGGGAGUCUUCGGGCACCCACGGGAAAGGCCCGCAAGGGCUACCAUUGGACGAGCUCGCGGCCCAUCAGCUUGUUGGUGAGGUAAUGGCUCACCAAGGCUAAGACGGGUAGCUGGUCUGAGAAGAUGAUCAGCCACACUGGAACUGAGACACGGUCCAGACUCCUACGGGAGGCAGCAGGUGGGGAAUAUUGCGCAAUGGGCGAAAGCCUGACGCAGCCACGCCGCGUGUGCGAUGAAGGUCUUCGGAUACGUAAAGCACUGUGGGGGGAGAAGAACAAAGCCGGUGAAGAGCCGGCCCUGACGGUAUCCCCUUAGCAAGCACCGGCUAACUCCGUG